Molecule: non-coding RNA, 227 nt
Organism: Pelobates cultripes (western spadefoot toad)
Lineage: Eukaryota; Metazoa; Chordata; Amphibia; Anura; Pelobatidae
Source: the annotation of a GenBank genome assembly
GUGCAUUCGCAAAGACGAACAGGUCCCUUCAGCUGGGAACUUGUAAUUGGAAGAGAUGCAAUCAUUGCUGGGUCCUUGAACUUCACUAGGCGCACUAUCGCGCUGGGCAGUUCAUUCAUUUACUGUUACGCUUAUUACCAGGUCUGCCUGACGGAGAUAGGGUUAUUAGAUCCUCUGGCAAGACAGACCUGGUCAUGUGGUGGGAGUCAUUAGAGCUCUGGAUUGGG